This 253-nucleotide ribosomal RNA is filed under the name uncultured bacterium. RNAcentral's name for it is "partial 16S ribosomal RNA". It matches the Rfam family "Bacterial small subunit ribosomal RNA", at positions 524 to 776 of the family's 1533-position model. The record is from RNAcentral.
UACGGAGGGUGCAAGCGUUAUCCGGAUUCACUGGGCUUAAAGGGCGCGUAGGAGGGCAGGUAAGUCAGUGGUGAAAUCUCCGAGCUUAACUCGGAAACUGCCGUUGAUACUAUCUGUCUUGAAUACCGUGGAGGUGAGCGGAAUAUGUCAUGUAGCGGUGAAAUGCUUAGAUAUGACAUAGAACACCAAUUGCGAAGGCAGCGCGCUACACGAGCAUUGACUCUGAGGCACGAAAGCGUGGGGAGCAAACAGG